AGCUUUGCACAGUGGCAGUAUCAUAGCCAGUGAGGUUUAUCUGAGGCACGAUUAUGGCUAAUUGAAAACUUUUCCCAAUACCCUGCCAUGAUGACUUGCAAUAUAGUCGGCAUUGGCAAUUUUUGACAGUCUCCACAGAGA
Molecule: small nuclear RNA, 141 nt
Filed under: Saimiri boliviensis boliviensis (Bolivian squirrel monkey)
Lineage: Eukaryota; Metazoa; Chordata; Mammalia; Primates; Cebidae
Description: U4 spliceosomal RNA (ENSSBOG00000011626.1)
Rfam family: U4 spliceosomal RNA
About the family: U4 small nuclear RNA (U4 snRNA) is a component of the major U2-dependent spliceosome. The structure of U4 snRNA from yeast and human has been reported. U4 snRNA presents a k-turn RNA motif in the 5p-SL related to recognition of Snu13 protein.
Source: Rfam by way of RNAcentral